UACGGGGGGAGCAAGCGUUGUUCGGAUUUACUGGGCGUAAAGGGCGCGUAGGCGGUAGCACAAGUCAGUUGUGAAAUCUCCGGGCUUAACUCGGAAAGGUCAACUGAUACUGUGCGACUAGAGUGCAGAAGGGGCAACUGGAAUUCUCGGUGUAGCGGUGAAAUGCGUAGAUAUCUGGAGGAACACCGGUGGCGAAGGCGCCCACCUGGCCUGCUACUGACGCUGAAGCUCGAAAGCUAGGGGAGCAAACGGG
This 253-nucleotide ribosomal RNA is filed under the name uncultured bacterium. RNAcentral describes it as "partial 16S ribosomal RNA". It matches the Rfam family "Bacterial small subunit ribosomal RNA", at positions 524 to 776 of the family's 1533-position model. The record is from RNAcentral.